UUUGAGAUUUAUUCCAGAAAUGAAGAAAGGUACCUGGGCAUAAGCAGCUCAUGAGAUGCACUUCUCAGGCAAUAUGCCAUGAUUUAAUCGACUUUGGAAGGUGGUCCACUGAGGUUUGAAUACAUACAAAUAUGAAAGAAUUAAAGUGAUUUAAAUGCUCAUUACUACUAUGCAGAACUGAGGAAAUGUAACCUCCAGGUAGUCUUAGAGCAUUAUACUGUGAAUGCAGGAAAUGUUUAGGCAUCUGGUCUCAAAUACAGGACUUUCUCCUGUAUAAAUUAAAUACAUUAAUGGCAGAAAGUUAUGGAAAAAUUAUUUUCUUCAAUGGCAGAACACAAAGGAAGUAAAGGUACUUUUAUUAACUGCAUUGUACAAAUGAGGAAACUGAAGCUCCAAGGAAUUGAUAACUCGCCCGAAGUCAUACAAUUAAUCAGAUUCUACAGGAGUCAUCAAACUCUGGCAGUCCGGCCCCAGAUCCUGAGGCUUCUUUCAAUGUACUUCCAAAGACCAAAAAAAGAUGCGUACAUCCAACUUGGACUGUGACACAGUUGUUCAGUAAGAAGUAAAGUGGAAGGAACAUUGUUACUCAAGUAAUGAAAAUGAGACGAAUACCUGUCCUAUUUACUUUAAGGGAUUUCUGACUGUUGAAAACAUAUUCAAAAUAAUAAAGAUGACAUGAAAAUAUAUAAGCUAUGGAAUGGAUUAAAUGCAAAUGACAAGCACGUAUGUACAAAGGUGCAUAUGUAUACGCCAUCAAGUAAGAAUACAUAAAUUGUAAAGAGUAGAAGAUUUUAAACUUUGUUUUUCAAAUGAUAACCUGCAAUAGUUGAAAUUUAUAUUUGACUUAGAAAUUAUAUAAUUAAGCAUUGCUUUACUGUGCACCUAACUGCAUAGCCUUCACUUUACAUUGGUCAGCAUGAAUUAUAAGUGUCAAAUGAUGGCUGCUUAUAAAUGUUGUAGCUAUACUUUAUAAACUAACCGGCCCAGAGAUAAUUGAUUUUAUUUUUCUCAGCAUUAUAAUUCAUACAUCAGUUUAGGUGUUUCUAUUAGAUAUGAUACCAGUUUGGUCCCAGCUUUUUAAAAGAAUAGUAACAUGGGCAGCCGUAGUGUAGUAGAAAUCAUUUUUAACACUAUAUGAAAAGAAGUAAAUGCAAUAUGUUUUUUACAAUGGCAGACAAUUUUUGCAGGAAAAAAAGCCUGGAAGAAAUAUUAUAUAACAUGUUCUGUAAUUUAGCAACAAUUAUCAAUGUGAUAGGUGGAAAAUCAUGAUAUUGCUUACCUAUAAAAUGUAUUGUGACAACUUAUAGAUGUGAAUAAAGUUUAAUUUCUAUCUGAAGAUGGUUCUUGCAUUAAAAAUUGUAGAAUUUGGAAUCUACUUUAUUGAAUUGUCAUUUACUUUUAGCUAUACUUUUAGAAAAUAAAUCUUUAGAAGUAGCAAGUAAUGAAUGAUUGCAGAUGAUUGUUGAA
Molecule: long non-coding RNA, 1467 nt
Organism: Orcinus orca (killer whale)
Lineage: Eukaryota; Metazoa; Chordata; Mammalia; Artiodactyla; Delphinidae
Exons: 5
Source: RefSeq, a predicted model, not a curated record